This 218-nucleotide long non-coding RNA is filed under the name Elaeis guineensis (African oil palm). RNAcentral describes it as "long non-coding RNA (EGUI_LNC000969)". The record is from RNAcentral. Lineage: Eukaryota; Viridiplantae; Streptophyta; Magnoliopsida; Arecales; Arecaceae.
CCUCCAUCAUUGGAGAUCCCUCUUCCACUCUUUCUUUUGCUCGAUUUUUUCUCAUUCCUUGCUCUCGGAUGGAAGGCUUUGUGCCGAUGAGAUUGUGGCCCAAAACACCAUCAAGAGUAAGGUAAUCCAUCGAGAAACUCGCUCUUUGAUUUCUUCUUAGAAUUUUGCCAAGAUUUUUGAGUUUUUAUCUAUUGAUUUUUAGAGUAAAAAUCAGAUUU